CAUUUAAAGUGGUACGCGAGCUGGGUUUAGAACGUCGUGAGACAGUUCGGUCCCUAUCUGCCGUGGGCGCUGGAGAACUGAGGGGGGCUGCUCCUAGUACGAGAGGACCGGAGUGGACGCAUCACUGGUGUUCGGGUUGUCAUGCCAAUGGCACUGCCCGGUAGCUAAAUGCGGAAGAGAUAAGUGCUGAAAGCAUCUAAGCACGAAACUUGCCCCGAGAUGAGUUCUCCCUGACUCCUUGAGAGUCCUGAAGGAACGUUGAAGACGACGACGUUGAUAGGCCGGGUGUGUAAGCGCAGCGAUGCGUUGAGCUAACCGGUACUAAUGAACCGUGAGGCUUAACCUU
Molecule: ribosomal RNA, 346 nt
Filed under: Escherichia coli
Lineage: Bacteria; Pseudomonadati; Pseudomonadota; Gammaproteobacteria; Enterobacterales; Enterobacteriaceae
Also listed under: 1 other name
Description: partial 23S ribosomal RNA
Rfam family: Bacterial large subunit ribosomal RNA
Source: RNAcentral